RNAcentral lists this transfer RNA (74 nucleotides) under Candidatus Zixiibacteriota bacterium. RNAcentral's name for it is "tRNA-His". It matches the Rfam family "tRNA". Rfam says of the family: Transfer RNA (tRNA) molecules are approximately 80 nucleotides in length. Their secondary structure includes four short double-helical elements and three loops (D, anti-codon, and T loops). Further hydrogen bonds mediate the characteristic L-shaped molecular structure. tRNAs have two regions of fundamental functional importance: the anti-codon, which is responsible for specific mRNA codon recognition, and the 3' end, to which the tRNAs corresponding amino acid is attached (by aminoacyl-tRNA synthetases). tRNAs cope with the degeneracy of the genetic code in two manners: having more than one tRNA (with a specific anti-codon) for a particular amino acid; and 'wobble' base-pairing, i.e. permitting non-standard base-pairing at the 3rd anti-codon position. Lineage: Bacteria; Pseudomonadati; Candidatus Zixiibacteriota. The record is from RNAcentral.
GCUGGAGUAGCUCAGUUGGCUAGAGCACCUGACUGUGGAUCAGGGGGUCGGCGGUUCGAGCCCGCCCUCCAGUA